GACGAACGCUGGCGGCGUGCUUAACACAUGCAAGUCGAACGGAAAGGCCCUGCUUUUGUGGGGUGCUCGAGUGGCGAACGGGUGAGUAACACGUGAGUAACCUGCCCUUGACUUUGGGAUAACUUCAGGAAACUGGGGCUAAUACCGGAUAGGAGCUCCUGCUGCAUGGUGGGGGUUGGAAAGUUUCGGCGGUUGGGGAUGGACUCGCGGCUUAUCAGCUUGUUGGUGGGGUAGUGGCUUACCAAGGCUUUGACGGGUAGCCGGCCUGAGAGGGUGACCGGCCACAUUGGGACUGAGAUACGGCGCAGACUCCUACGGGAGGCAGCAGUGGGGAAUAUUGCACAAUGGGCGGAAGCCUGAGGCAGCAACGCCGCGGGCGGGAUGACGGCCUUCGGGUUGUAAACCGCUUUCGCCUGUGACGAAGCGUGAGUGACGGUAAUGGGUAAAGAAGCACCGGCUAACUACGUG
This 468-nucleotide ribosomal RNA is filed under the name uncultured bacterium. RNAcentral describes it as "partial 16S ribosomal RNA". It matches the Rfam family "Bacterial small subunit ribosomal RNA", at positions 28 to 507 of the family's 1533-position model. The record is from RNAcentral.